GACGAACGCUGGCGGCGUGCUUAACACAUGCAAGUCGAACGGAAAGGCCCUGCUUUUGUGGGGUGCUCGAGUGGCGAACGGGUGAGUAACACGUGAGUAACCUGCCCUUGACUUUGGGAUAACUUCAGGAAACUGGGGCUAAUACCGGAUAGGAGCUCCUGCUACAUGGUGGGGGUUGGAAAGUUUCGGCGGUUGGGGAUGGACUCGCGGCUUAUCAGCUUGUUGGUGGGGUAGUGGCUUACCAAGGCUUUGACGGGUAGCCGGCCUGAGAGGGUGACCGGCCACAUUGGGACUGAGAUACGGCCCAGACUCCUACGGGAGGCAGCAGUGGGGAAUAUUGCACAAUGGGCGGAAGCCUGAUGCAGCAACGCCGCGUGCGGGAUGACGGCCUUCGGGUUGUAAACCGCUUUCGCCUGUGACGAAGCGUGAGUGACGGUAAUGGGUAAAGAAGCACCGGCUAACAACGUG
RNAcentral lists this ribosomal RNA (468 nucleotides) under uncultured bacterium. RNAcentral describes it as "partial 16S ribosomal RNA". It matches the Rfam family "Bacterial small subunit ribosomal RNA", at positions 28 to 507 of the family's 1533-position model. The record is from RNAcentral.